RNAcentral lists this ribosomal RNA (1673 nucleotides) under Neoceratias spinifer. RNAcentral describes it as "16S rRNA". It matches the Rfam family "Bacterial large subunit ribosomal RNA". Lineage: Eukaryota; Metazoa; Chordata; Actinopteri; Lophiiformes; Neoceratiidae. The record is from RNAcentral.
UACCAUAUAGCUAGCCUUAUAACUUAAAUACAACAUACAACCACUAAUAACCCCUACGACCCUAUAAAGUCUAAAACAAACCAUUUUUCCCCCCUAGUAUAGGAGAUAGAAAAGGACACUAGAGCGAUAGAAAGAGUACCGCAAGGGAAUGCUGAAAGAGAAAUGAAAUAACCCAGAAAGUACCAAGCAGCAGAGAUUAUGACUCGUACCUUUUGCAUCAGGAUUUAGCCAGCAACCCCAAGCAAAGAGCCCUUCAGUUUGAACCCCCGAAACUAAGCGAGCUACUCCAAGACAGCCUAUAAUAGGGCACACCCGUCUCUGUGGCAAAAGAGUGGGGAGAACUUUGAGUAGAGGUGAAAGACCUACCGAGCCUAGUUAUAGCUGGUUGCCUGGGAUUUGGAUAGAAGUUCAGCCUCCCACCUCUUUUUCCCCACACUUUCACAUCACCAAGUUGGCUGAAAAGAAGCUGAGAGAGUUAAUCAAAGGGGGUACAGCCCCUUUGAUAAAGGAAACAACUUUUUUCAAGAGGAUAGAGAUUAUAAUAUUAGACUGUAUGCUUAGGUGGGCCUGAAAGCAGCCACCCCUAUAGAAAGCGUCAUAGCUCAAGUAUAGCCUUCCCCCGAUCCCUAUAAGUUAUCUUAUUCCCUUAAGCAUACCAGGCCCUUCCAUGCCAGCAUGGAAAAGAUAAUGCUAGAAUGAGUAAUAAGAGGACCCCCUCUCCCGGCACAAGUGUAAAUCGGAACGGAUACCCCGCCGAGCUUUAACGUCCCCAACCAAAGAGGGCAAUGUAUGGAAGACUAAAUAACAAGAAAAUCCACCAAACCCGGACCGUUAACCCCACACUGGUGUGCUCCUCGGGAAAGACUAAAACGAAGAGAAGGAACUCGGCAAACACAUAAAGCCUCGCCUGUUUACCAAAAACAUCGCCUCUUGCACACAAUGAAUAAGAGGUCCAGCCUGCCCUGUGACUAUAAGUUUAACGGCCGCGGUAUUUUAACCGUGCGAAGGUAGCGUAAUCACUUGUCUCUUAAAUGGGGACCUGUAUGAAUGGCAAAACGAGGGCUUAGCUGUCUCCUCUACCCAGUCAAUUAAAUUGAUCUCCCCGUGCAGAAGCGGGGAUUAAAACAUAAGACGAGAAGACCCUAUGGAGCUUUAGACGCUAGAACAGACUAUGUUAAGUGACCUCACACAGGUUGAAAACAAAGUAUUUACCUGCUCCAAUGUCUUCGGUUGGGGCGACCACGGGGCACUAAAAAACCCCCACGCGGAAUGGAAGCAAGACCUUCUACAACUAAGAGCCCCAGCUCUAAUAACAGAAAUUCUGACCAUGAAGACCCGGAAUGACCGAUCAACGGACCGAGUUACCCUAGGGAUAACAGCGCAAUCCCCUUCUAGAGACCCUAUCGACAAGGGGGUUUACGACCUCGAUGUUGGAUCAGGACAUCCUAAUGGUGCAGCCGCUAUUAAGGGUUCGUUUGUUCAACGAUUAAAGUCCUACGUGAUCUGAGUUCAGACCGGAGUAAUCCAGGUCAGUUUCUAUCUAUGGUAUGGCCUUUUCUAGUACGCAAGGAUCGAGAGGGCGGGGCCUAUGUUAAAGACAUGCCCCACCCUUACCUGAUGAGCGCAACUGAAAUAGGCAAGAGGGCUUACCCUUGUGCCCGAGAUAAUGGCAU